Molecule: long non-coding RNA, 643 nt
Organism: Melitaea cinxia (Glanville fritillary)
Lineage: Eukaryota; Metazoa; Arthropoda; Insecta; Lepidoptera; Nymphalidae
Exons: 2
Source: RefSeq, a predicted model, not a curated record
GUCACUUUUUAGCAAGAUGACCAUGCGGUCGGCUCAUCGGCUAACACGAGCUUUCGACGAAAUACAAAUAGCAGAACUUCUUAAUAAUUCGGAGUUCGAAGACUCGGAUGAUGAAGAUGUGCCUGACCUGACCUCCCUGACCUAACCUAAACCUGUCCUCGGAAUCUGAAGGUGGAGAAACAGAAAUCGCUGUAAGUGGAGGUGGAUCUACUCGUCGUACUCAAAGUGCUCGUGACCACCGAGUUGGACGUGGCCGUGGUAGAAGUACAAGUACAAGGGCACGACAUAUCGGGCAUAGUGCCUGUACCAUCAAAAAUGCGACGCUUAUAUGGCAAUAUCCACUUACCGGAACAUCUAGACAAACAACAACGAGGCCAUCUCUCUGGGUGUGACAAAAGGAGUUUAUUUAAAUGCUCUGACUGUAAUGUAGCUAUUUGCCUAAACUCAACCAGAAAUUGUUGCAGGGCCUUUCAUCGACAAGAGAAUUAAUAAUAAGAAAUAAAAAGUGAUUUUGAAAUAAGAUAUCAAUUAAACUAGCAAGUAAGGAAGAUUGUUAUGUCUUCUAUCCUAUUUCGAUAAUUAAGAAUAGUGAUACUGUUAUCCUCUGGUUUAUAAAAGUAAAUUAUGCUAAUAUUGUCUUUGA